This 481-nucleotide ribosomal RNA is filed under the name uncultured bacterium. Its description in RNAcentral is "partial 16S ribosomal RNA". It matches the Rfam family "Bacterial small subunit ribosomal RNA", at positions 28 to 523 of the family's 1533-position model. The record is from RNAcentral.
GACGAACGCUGGCGGCGUGCUUAACACAUGCAAGUCGAGCGGAAAGGCUCCUUCGGGGGCACUCGAGCGGCGAACGGGUGAGUAACACGUGAGUAAUCUGCCCUUGGCUUCGGGAUAGCCACCGGAAACGGUGAUUAAUACCGGAUACGACAACUUCUCGCAUGGGAUGGUUGUGGAAAGUUUUUUCGGCCAGGGAUGUGCUCGCGGCCUAUCAGCUUGAUGGUGAGGUAAUGGCUCACCAUGGCUUCGACGGGUAGCCGGCCUGAGAGGGUGACCGGUCACACUGGGACUGGGACACGGCCCAGACUCCUACGGGAGGCAGCAGUGGGGAAUAUUGGACAAUGGGCGGAAGCCUGAUCCAGCAACGCCGCGUGAGGGAUGACGGCCUUCGGGUUGUAAACCUCUUUCGGUAGGGACGAAGCGCAAGUGACGGUACCUACUAAAGAAGCACCGGCCAACUACGUGCCAGCCGCCGCAGUAA